UACGUAGGGACCGAGCGUUGUCCGGAUUCAUUGGGCGUAAAGAGCUCGUAGGCGGCUAUUCAAGUCGAACGUGAAAACUCGGAGCUCAACUCCGAGCCUGCGUUCGAUACUGGACGGCUAGAGUCUGGUAGGGGGAUCUGGAAUUCCUGGUGUAGCGGUGGAAUGCGCAGAUAUCAGGAGGAACACCGGUGGCGAAGGCGGGAUCCUGGGCCAGUACUGACGCUGAGGAGCGAAAGCGUGGGGAGCAAACAGG
Molecule: ribosomal RNA, 253 nt
Filed under: uncultured bacterium
Lineage: Bacteria
Description: partial 16S ribosomal RNA
Rfam family: Bacterial small subunit ribosomal RNA
Source: RNAcentral